This 102-nucleotide non-coding RNA is filed under the name Clostridium homopropionicum. RNAcentral's name for it is "Azaaromatic sequence". It matches the Rfam family "azaaromatic riboswitch aptamer (yjdF RNA)". Lineage: Bacteria; Bacillati; Bacillota; Clostridia; Eubacteriales; Clostridiaceae. The record is from RNAcentral. RNAcentral also lists the same sequence under 1 other name.
UAAUAGAGAGAUAAAAACACGAUUCGGUUGGUAGUCCGAAUGCAGUAUAUAAACUGUCAGUAACCUUCCCUCCUGGGGUUGUCCGUUCUCUUGAGAUUAAAU